CCUACGGGAGGCAGCAGUGAGGAAUAUUGGUCAAUGGACGAGAGUCUGAACCAGCCAAGUAGCGUGAAGGAUGACUGCCCUAUGGGUUGUAAACUUCUUUUAUAAAGGAAUAAAACGAGGCACGUGUGCCUUUUUGCAUGUAAUUUAUGAAUAAGGAUCGGCUAACUCCGUGCCAGCAGCCGCGGUAAUACGGAGGAUCCGAGCGUUAUCCGGAUUUAUUGGGUUUAAAGGGUGCGUAGAUGGGUUGUUAAGUCAGUUGUGAAAGUUUGCGGCUCAACCGUAAAAUUGCAAUUGAUACUGGCAGUCGUGAGUACAGUUGAGGUAGGCGGAAUUCGUGGUGUAGCGGUGAAAUGCUGAGAUAUCACGAAGAACCCCGAUUGCGAAGGCAGCUUACUAAACUGUGACUGACAUUGAUGCUCGAAAGUGUGGGUAUCAAACAGGAUUAGAUACCCGAGUAGUC
RNAcentral lists this ribosomal RNA (460 nucleotides) under uncultured bacterium. RNAcentral describes it as "partial 16S ribosomal RNA". It matches the Rfam family "Bacterial small subunit ribosomal RNA", at positions 338 to 795 of the family's 1533-position model. The record is from RNAcentral.